GCACCUUACAGUUCAAACUGGCCGCUCCUGUUUACUGCCAUUCUAAAAGGCGUGUUAGAUAUCAUAUGAAACGUUUGGAAUACCACUAUUUUACCCAAACUUGUUUUAUUACGUCUAAUAAUCAAAUUGGAUGCCACUUGCUUUUAGCAAUGAUUUUUAGGUUACUCUGACACUGUUUUGACGUAUGUGGUUUAAGGCCCGUUUUCAAAGUCUACUUUAGUAACUGGCAUCCAUUAGUUCCUUCUAGUAAAUGAAAAUGAAGUACCAUACUUUCAUUAACCCAAUAGAUUUGAAUGAAGAUGAAAUGUAUCGAAAAAAAGAUAAUACAUUUUUAGAUUUGUGUUGUCCAUGUUUAAGAAAAACUGAAUCACAGGACCGUUUCAUUCCUAUAGAAAUCCUAUCUUUUUCAAAUUC
Limulus polyphemus (Atlantic horseshoe crab) is the source of this 414-nucleotide long non-coding RNA. RefSeq lists it as uncharacterized. The transcript is spliced from 3 exons. Lineage: Eukaryota; Metazoa; Arthropoda; Merostomata; Xiphosura; Limulidae. The record is from RefSeq and is a predicted model, not a curated record.